UGCCAGCAGUCGCGGUUACACCAAGAAGUCAAGUCAUUCUGAUUGAUGGUUAAAAGGCAGUUAGGCUUUAAAUAAAUUUGUAUUUAAGUUGUUUAAUGUUCUAUAUAGAAGUAAAAUUUAGAUAUGGUUUCAUAAUUUAAUAAUAGCUUAGAGGAGCUGAAUCUGUGAAAUUCUUGAGGGAAACUGGGAUUAGGUACCCCAUUAUUCUUGAGGGUAAAUCGCAUGAACUACCAGAGUACUAUGAAUGAUUAAAUUUAAAACUCAAAGGACUUGGCGGUGUCUUAGACCAUUUAGGGGAACCUGUCUCGUAAUCGACAAUCCACGAUAUACCUGACCUUUUUUUGUUAUCAGUUUGUAUACCGUUGUCGUCAGGUAACUUUUUAGAAGGAUGAAGUUAGCAAUAUAAAUAGAUUAUUUUAUACGUCAAAUCAAGGUGCAGCUAAUAGAAAGGGGAGGAUGGGUUACAAUUAUUUAUUUGUAAUUACGGAAGCAAAAUAUAGAAAUAUGUUGCAUAAGGAGGACUUAAAAGUAAAUUAAAAUAUAUAAGUAAUUUGAAUGAGGCUCUGAGACGUGUACACAUCGCCCGUCACUCU
This 593-nucleotide ribosomal RNA is filed under the name Hastula hastata. Its description in RNAcentral is "partial 12S ribosomal RNA". The record is from RNAcentral. Lineage: Eukaryota; Metazoa; Mollusca; Gastropoda; Neogastropoda; Terebridae.